UACGGGGGGAGCAAGCGUUGUUCGGAAUCACUGGGCGUAAAGGGCGUGUAGGCGGUUAGGUUCGUGAGAUGUGAAAUGCCCCGGCUCACCCGGGGACCUGCAUCUCAAACUGCCUGGCUUGAGUAUGGGAGAGGAUGAGGGAAUUCCUGGUGUAGCGGUGAAAUGCGUAGAUAUCAGGAGGAACACCGGUGGCGAAAGCGCUCAUCUGGCCCAAUACUGACGCUGAGGCGCGAAAGCUAGGGGAGCAAACGGG
RNAcentral lists this ribosomal RNA (253 nucleotides) under uncultured bacterium. RNAcentral's name for it is "partial 16S ribosomal RNA". It matches the Rfam family "Bacterial small subunit ribosomal RNA", at positions 524 to 776 of the family's 1533-position model. The record is from RNAcentral.